Molecule: ribosomal RNA, 428 nt
Filed under: uncultured prokaryote
Description: bacterial SSU rRNA
Rfam family: Bacterial small subunit ribosomal RNA
Source: RNAcentral
UGAGGAAUUUUGCGCAAUGGGAGCAAUCCUGACGCAGCAACGCCGCGUGGGUGAUGAAGGCCUUCGGGUCGUAAAGCCCUGUCAGGUGGGAAGAAUGUCCCGGGACUGAACAGGUUCCGGGAGUGACGGUACCACCAGAGGAAGCACCGGCUAACUCCGUGCCAGCAGCCGCGGUAAUCCGGAGGGUGCAAGCGUUAUUCGGAAUUACUGGGCGUAAAGCGCGUGUAGGCGGUCCUGCAAGACUGAUGUGAAAGCCCCGGGCUUAACCCGGGAAGUGCAUUUGAAACUGUGGGACUUGAGUACUGGAGAGGAUGGGGGAAUUCCCGGUGUAGAGGUGAAAUUCGUAGAGAUCGGGAGGAAUAUCAGUGGCGAAGGCGCCCAUCUGGACGGUAACUGACGCUGAGACACGAAAGCGUGGGGAGCAAACA